Long non-coding RNA from Brachypodium distachyon (stiff brome), 2570 nucleotides. RefSeq lists it as uncharacterized. The record is from RefSeq and is a predicted model, not a curated record. The transcript has 5 exons. NCBI's taxonomy places the organism in Eukaryota, Viridiplantae, Streptophyta, Magnoliopsida, Poales, Poaceae.
CGUGUAUCAGUUGGAGUUCUUGUAGCAAGCACCGUUCGAACUGCAGGUUUGACUGUAGCACCUCUCCCUGUGGUUUCUUCUUCUGCUAUCAUGUCUGACAUGAGCCCCUCCACGCCACUGCUUAUCUAGACGUGAGGCAAGACAUUCUCAAGCUGGUCUUGUACCAGAACGAGGAAGAAAUAUUCGAACUUGCUGUUUCAACUAAUGAUUUUACCUCUUCUGUCCCUUCUUUUAUGCCAUCAUAUCUAACAGUUUCCCUUUUCCUUUUUUGGGUUUUCGCUGUAUGCCCAUUUUUUUAAUCAUGAUGUCAGCGUUUGUAGGCUACUAGGCAGUGUGAGCAUGUGCGCAUGUGCAUAUUCAGGGGUAGCACACAGAUUAAUGAUAUUGACGGUGAAGCAUUUGCCUGUGCCUUCUUCAUUUCAGAACUUCUCGUGCUCUCCGACGUCUCCGUGAACUCAAAUUUCUGACUAUUUCCAUAUAUUAUUGUUGUUGCAUAAUGUUGUGUUAAAUCUGGUGAUACGAUUAUGACAUUUAGUUCCUCUUAAAACAAAUUUUCAUGGUUCACCAUGGCACUAUGGCCUAUAGUUAGCAUUUUUACUGAAAAUUUCUCCAAAAUACAGUCAUACUGAAUCCUUUAUUUUGUGUCUGUCCAUCUGGUUAAUCCUUGGUGAUUUCUCAUGUCUGCAGAUAUUCUAAAUAGUGAUGUGCUACUCUCUUUUUUGACCGGGCUUAUGAGAAAUGCUUCCAGAACCUACACUAUAUGCAGUGAUAUGAAGAACACACAAUUGCUCACGUGAUUCAGGCCAAGUACGAGAAUACAAAGAUUCAAAUGCCGAAGGACUUCGAGCAGAAGUUUUGAUGAACUGUUCAUGAAUUGUACUUAUUGUAGCCUCUUUGUGUUGAGGAGAUGAGGUCAACUCUGCUUGUUCUGGCGAGGGAAGAAGACAGAAGGAAGAGCCAGUGCCAGUCCCUUGUGACCAGUCCCUUGUGCUCAGGUGUGGGAUAUGCGCUGCCGGAAGAGAGGGGAACCAGUAGGUGCUUUGACAGGUCAUUUAGAUGGGAUUAAUAGCCAUGGAGACGGGCGUUAUUUCAUCUCCAAUCGCAGGGAUCAAACUAUUAAACUAUGGGAUGUCAGGAAAAUGUCCUCCACGAUGGACUGCACACCAAAUAAAAGCACAUGAAUGGGAUUACAGGUGGAUGACUUAUCCAUCAAAAGCCCGGUAUUUGAAGCAUCCAUAUAAUCAGUCACUAGCCAAGUUCAGAGGCCAUUCGGUGUUGUGCACACUUAUUCAUUCGGUGCAGUGGAGUAGUUCGGAACCUUCAAUAUGAACGUAGGAAAUAUUUAUCUAAUAUAGUUAUCUACUGGCAUAUUUAAAAGGGACCUCUGGAUUCUGAUCUCAGUUGUGGAAUUUUAUGAUCUUACUAAGCCCAUGUGGCUUUGAUAUUUCGUGGUUGGAUCCAUUAGUAGGAUUUGUCCAGGAUGGAAUUCAGAUCUACAAAUAAUCUCCAUUUUUCUUCUAUCUGAUUCUUUAUUGAAUGCUUAUGGAUUUUGGCUGAUCUAUGUUAGACAUAGUAUCCAGCUUACAGAUGUACGUUAAUUUAUCUAAAAGCAACUGCAUCAAGCUUGUCGUAUUUUAUAACCUCAGUGAAUAGGGCAUCAUCCAAAAAGUUGAUUAUAUGCUCCAUGUUGUGGCAGGUGUGGUCUGCUUAGUUCUGAUAUCCGUGUGCUUAGCUCUUAUCAGUCAAUGUACUUUUGUAACUUGUCACUACGAACAGAAGUCUUCUUAGAACACAUGGAUAUAUGUAACAGUAGUUGAUAGUGGAGGGGUUCCGUAUUUGCUUGGUGCCCAUUGAUAUUUCAAUGGUUAAUUCAAAUGUGGUUCCUGACUUAAGUGUUUGUUAUCUUAUCUUAAAUUAUCCUAUUUUGAGUUACUACUUACUGUUGAUCAGAGUACCUUCCUUUUCAAAAGAAAAAUGGAUUCAUGUUUUCUCCUCAAGUGUUGUUUAGCUUUAAGAAUCCAAAUAUUUUGCCAACAGAUUUGGAAGAAAAGAUAAGAAGAAUAUGCUAGAGUACCAAAAUUUAGAGAAGAAGAUGGACAAGGCGUUAUGUACUUAUGUCAGCCUCUAUUUAUUUUCAUUAUAUAUUUCUAGAUAGGCUGAUACGAGCAUUGAUAAGAGGUCUUCAUUAUACCGAGGUGUGUAAGUUUACUUAUUGAACAUUCCUCAACUAAUUUGAGUAUUUAUUUUUCAUCUGUGCAGAUAUAUCAUAUUACUUGAUUCUGCUCAUUUUGUUAUCGUCUUAAUUCUCUUUUAUCAAUUCAUGCAUGUGAAUGGCUUGUUUUUUUCCCUCUGUUUUGCAUGCAGGCGCCUCUUUUUUCACAUCUGCCAGGACUGCUCAUACAGAUGAACUGAAGAUUUCAAAUUCCCGCUGCGUAGUUGUGUUACCGCACUAGGCAAGUGCACUUGAUGUAUGAUUUGUAUAACACCAUCUGCAUUUGUAUUGUCAUAAGCUCGUGGAUUCUGAAUUAUAACACCAUAUGCAUUUGUAUUGUCGGCCCAACAUAUUGAUC